This is a small nucleolar RNA of Conger conger (European conger), 128 nucleotides long. RefSeq annotates it as small nucleolar RNA SNORA63. The record is from RefSeq and is a predicted model, not a curated record. Lineage: Eukaryota; Metazoa; Chordata; Actinopteri; Anguilliformes; Congridae. The transcript has a single exon.
UGGCAGGUUAAGUUACAGAGCAGCUGAUUCGUGCUGCGCUGUCGUUCCCCCUGCACAAAACAACCUGUUUCCUACUAUCCCUGUCUGCCUGCACCCCACGGUUUACAGGGACGCUUGGUCUCAGACAC